GGUAACAGCGUGUCACACAUGUGAUGUCAUAACCAUUGUCCACCAAAGAGCAGCACUGAGCAGAAAUAACACUGCUCCUGUUCAUUCUCCAUCAGUGAGGGGCCGGUGCUGGACACUGUGUAGGGACGCGGGAAUGCAAAGUCAUACACAUGACUGUGACUGAUGCACUAUCUCCAGGACAUGGAGUAGCAUUUCCGGACCUACAGCAAGACGUUGGAUGAAGGCAUAGCCCCAGAAAUAACACUGGUCCUGUUCAUCAGUGAGGGGCCGGUGCUGGACACUGUGUAGGGACACGGGAAUGCAAAGUCAUGCACAUGACUGUGACUGAUGCACUAUUUCCAGGACAUGGAGUAGCAUUUCGGGACCUACAGCAAGACGUUGGAUGAAGGCACAGGCCUAGGAAUCAUGCACAUACACAGAAACAUUUGCCCAAAUUAUAGAGGUAACCUCCUUUAAUAUGCCCAGAGGAAGGGCCAUACAGUAGCCAUGGAUUCCCUACAGGUUUCCUCCCCUCUGGAGGUUUUUCCUGUCCUGAGUAUUAGUUACUGUACGCUCUUUGUGAG
Long non-coding RNA from Hyla sarda, 563 nucleotides. RefSeq lists it as uncharacterized. The record is from RefSeq and is a predicted model, not a curated record. The transcript has 3 exons. NCBI's taxonomy places the organism in Eukaryota, Metazoa, Chordata, Amphibia, Anura, Hylidae.